AGUGAACGCUGGCGGUAGGCCUAACACAUGCAAGUCGAACGGCAGCACAGUAAGAGCUUGCUCUUACGGGUGGCGAGUGGCGGACGGGUGAGGAAUACAUCGGAAUCUACUUUUUCGUGGGGGAUAACGUAGGGAAACUUACGCUAAUACCGCAUACGACCUACGGGUGAAAGCAGGGGAUCUUCGGACCUCGCGCGAUUGAAUGACCCGAUGUCGGAUUAGCUAGUUGGCGGGGUAAAGGCCUACCAAGGCGACGAUCCGUAGCUGGUCUGAGAGGAUGAUCAGCCACACUGGAACUGAGACACGGUCCAGACUCCUACAGGAGGCAGCAGUGGGGAAUAUUGGACAAUGGGUGAAAGCCUGAUCCAGCCAUACCGCGUGGGUGAAGAAGGCCUUCGGGUUGUAAAGCCCUUUUGUUGGGAAAGAAAAGCAGCAGGUUAAUACCCCGCUGUUCUGACGGUACCCAAAGAAUAAGCACCGGCUAACUUCGUG
This 492-nucleotide ribosomal RNA is filed under the name uncultured bacterium. Its description in RNAcentral is "partial 16S ribosomal RNA". It matches the Rfam family "Bacterial small subunit ribosomal RNA", at positions 29 to 507 of the family's 1533-position model. The record is from RNAcentral.